This is a long non-coding RNA of Thunnus maccoyii (southern bluefin tuna), 3589 nucleotides long. RefSeq lists it as uncharacterized. NCBI's taxonomy places the organism in Eukaryota, Metazoa, Chordata, Actinopteri, Scombriformes, Scombridae. The record is from RefSeq and is a predicted model, not a curated record. The transcript has 3 exons.
AAGGAGAUUUGUUUUAAGCUGCUGCAUUUCACGUACAAGAGCUCCUUUUUCCUAACCGUUCUUGGCAGCCUGCUCCUGCUUUGAGAGAGUUUCCUCUGGGGAUGUGACUUAUGCUACACCGCCUCUUUGCACAUACAGGCACAGGUAACACUGAGGAUAGGAAGCUGUGUCUGUCUUGGUUCUUCAGGGAGAAGGGAAAGACAAAGACAGGCCCUGAAGCUGUCUCACAGGUACAAAAAACCAGCAGAGAAAAAGGCAUCUCUGCCUGAAUACAGCCUCCCCGUCCACUGAGAUAAAGACUAAUGUUUGGCCUGGUGGGAGGAAGAGGAGCAGCUGAGGUUCACUCCAACUACGGCAUCUUUCUCCCAGAACUGGGUGCAGCAGCAGCUCUCAGUGGAUCACUGAAUAUUGUACAAUAUGCACUCACAGCCUCACUGUGGUACACCUGCACAUGGCCUACAGCACUAACUCUCUCAUUGGUCAUUCUCUGGUGUAAUUGUAAUUAUAGACUGAUCAUGGAACAGGUGCUUAAGGAAUAAAAUACACAGUAAUGUAUAUGUUGUUUUUAUCCUCUUGCACCACUAAAAUGCACCAGUAUAAAAGAAGAGGAACAUGACAGUUUAAAUUGGUCAUUGAAUUGGCCUUAUGAAUCAAGGACUUGUUAUAGAUUGAAUUAUUUAAUUGUAAAUGAAAAAAAUAAGGCAUUAACAGACAUUAAUUAAAAAUACUAAACAAAACUUUCCAGGAAGUAUUUGCAAAAGUAUGAAAACAGUUUAUUUUUAGUCAAGACACUGUUUCAUAAAUGCCUUUGCUAUUGUGAGGUUUGAGUGACUGCAGGUUUGGCUAUUUAAUAAAGCAGAAUAUAAUGAUUCCCACAGUAGCUAUAUGUAUCAUGGUUUUGCAUAUACAAACACAAUUAUUAUUUUCUAUUAUUAGGGUGAGAGAUAAUAUUUUUAAAAAGUUAAAAAAAUAUUAACUGAAUUAUGGUCAACAAACCAGCUAAAUAGAGAACAUGACAAUUAUUAUCUUUGAAGGAGAGCAGACUAGCUAAUAUUGUAGCAUAUAUACUGGGGCUAUCACCUUUCUAAAAAAAGAAAGAAAAAACUUUUUUUUUGAAUGAAACUAACACAAAAUUUGUUUAAAUUAAUUCAAACACAACCCAAAAUUAACAUGCUGUUGAUUUGUGUUUACUUCAGUGACAAGGUAAUGUUAAUUUGAGGGAGUUUCGAAUCACUGUGUCAGCAAACAGCCCUACCUUUAUCCUUGACCUUUACAUCUACUGUGUCAAAUCCAAAAUGCCUCCUCACAAUACUUCUCAGAUGGUUUGGUAUCAUUAUUAUCCGUUCAGCACUAGUUUUCUCCAUUUUACGUUAGCAUAGAAAACUGUAAUUUACUGCUAGGCUAACUAGCUUCCUUAUUCUUGAGCUUUUUACUGAGCUUCAACUGCAUGUUGUCACUCGGUUGAUGAUUCUAGGAGCCUACAGGACUCACAAAAACCUAAUAUGAUGAACUAAUUACGGGGACGCAGCUACAUUUUCCAGGGGACUCAAAACUCCUGGCUAUGCCCCUGCUUUGACAGAAGAACACUGGUUAUCUGCUUGUUUGAGGUUUACACAAUCAGAUCAUUUCUGCCUCUGAAAAAUGUUUUUAAAACACAUUUCCUCAAUAGACACACCACAAUAUUUGGCUGUUAAGCGGAAACUAUUGUUGGCGGCUCACUUCAGUGCCCUUGUUUGAUAUGAACCUCCAUAGACUUCAGUGUGACCUCUAAGGGAUCCUUCAGCCUUUGCUUUUUCCCACAUAUGUGUUACUCAACAAUUCCUCGUAGUAAAUGGUUUGUGUUGUCAAUUUAAGGAGAUAAAUCUGCCCCGCCAACGACAGUGUCCUGGUUUAUUCCCAUUUCCGGUCUCCCACUAAGAAUCUUACUGACAGAAUAUAUGGCGUCAGCAUGCUCCAAAUCUUUGAGCCUUUUAGCCUCUUCUGUAAUGCUUACACAGGGAAAUUGAACAAGUGGACAGACUGUUCCACUCCUCAAUAUGAUACACUAUAGAGCAGAAAUUUCAUUCUCUUAAGCUUUAAACUUAUACCAUCCACAGGGUGCUUGUUGUCGAAAGAAGUAGAAAGCAGUUUGUUUCAUGUCCUUUGGCAAACACUAAAUAUAUUAUAGCAUUUGUGGUUAAUAAAAAAGUAAAAACACUAUGCAGAAAAGGUGAUAUUGUGAAAAUUACACCAUUGUGAAAAUCAUUACUAUUUAACCAAAGAUUAGCGGUAAUGUUUUCAUAAUUAUGCCUCUUGCAAAUUAUGGCUGUUCUACUCACUAAUUGCUCUUUCCUUUCAUUUUAUUCAUCUAGAAUUAAAUUAAGUAAACAUGGCCCAGAGAGGAUAAUAGUGACCCAAAUUCUACCAUGCCAACUUCAAAUACAUAACCUAUACCUAUACAUAUGACUGACUUUAAAUAGUGUUUCUGCUAUAGUUAGAAUUCCUUUCAAAGUCACUUAGCUCAGGAUGUGCGCUCCUCACAGCAUGCCAGUGCAGAAAGGAAAUCAAAGUAACAGACAAAAAGUUGUUUGAGUGUAUUAUAUAAGUUUGGGGUGACUCUGUAAUGAGUUUUUAGGGGCAGCAAAACAGUGUCAUCAUUCACAUAAUAUCAUAAUUAGCCCAUUCUGAAUCCAGGGGGCUCUUGGUCAGAUGAUGAUGGUGAUGUUGGAUCUUCCCCCUUGUUUCAUGUUGGCUAAUAUCCAGCAAUUUGCCACCUCACUCCUCUCUGUCUCCUUUUUCUGUCUUUCUGGGGAGUCUUUGAUGCUGUGUCAAAUGUCUCCCUCUUCAAAGUCUUCAAGGAUAUGGACCACAGUACCAAAUUGGUCGCAUACAGACACUGCUGGCCUUGUUAUGAACCUGCCAAAUACGGAGGACGUUGAUGGAGGAGUAUGCUGAUGCAAGGUUGUGUGUUUUAUCAGCUCUCAAAACAACCUGCCCGUGGCUCGAUCUUCAAUCUGACGGGAUGCAGGAAGAAAGAAAAGUUUUGCCUGACUGCACUUUGUGAAUGCACAUUCAAACAGCAUCUCUCAAAGUUCAAAAACAGAGUCGGAUGAGGUAGACUUUAUCAUACUGUGUGAGACAUUUAAUCUUUUCACAGGGCUAGCGCUUCUCUUUCCUUCCAUUGAUUUUGACCAUCAUAAGCUAUAGUGUAGAUAAUGAUCAGAGUCUAAUCAGCUGCAUUAUCAGUAUGCCCUUCCCUAUCGGUGCUGCCAACACCUAAGGCUGUCCAGUCAAAUGUUGCUCUGGUACAAUGAAUGGAAGACAAACAACCUUGCUAUGAUGUGCCAGACACUUGUGAAUAAAUGUCCUUUCCUGUCUAGUUUGGGUGUAUCUUAGCAUUUUUUUUCUUCAUUCCUUUUUGUACAAAUUUAAAUAGAUGGACAUUAUAAUAAAAGAUCAGCUGUAGUCAUUAACCUUUAAAUGUAACUGAAUACAAUUCUGACUUUUUAGGCCAUGCUUGCAGCAUGUCUCUAGGGAGGGCCAUGUCUGUCAAAGGGUCCAUCACAGACUGAAAUAUCUCAACAACUGUUGAAUGGAUUUCCAUUAAAUU